Molecule: long non-coding RNA, 377 nt
Filed under: Hordeum vulgare
Lineage: Eukaryota; Viridiplantae; Streptophyta; Magnoliopsida; Poales; Poaceae
Description: long non-coding RNA (HVUL_LNC009440)
Source: RNAcentral
UCACCCCGCGCGCGGGGGGGGGGGCUCCCCACCUCCUGAAUAGUAUUCACCUAACAGGGAGAACAAGGAAGGAAAACACAACAAAGUGCACCGUAGGGGAAGCCAGGCAACAUUGGCUAGCCGGACCGAACCACGACACUGCACCGUCGACGCAAUUCAACGGGCACCUCACAAGCCAAGGCAGCACAACGCCGCAACACAGGACCUGCAUCGCAAGGCACAGUCGAAGGCCUCGCAAGGCCGAGACGACGCCACGAGACCUGUGUGCCAACAUAGUAGCCGCACGGACCGCCAAGCAGAGACGCAACAGGAGCACUCGAGCACGACACACACCACCGUCGACCCCAGACCGGCCGCACCACCACCAUCGACCACCC